CCUACGGGAGGCAGCAGUGAGGAAUAUUGGUCAAUGGACGAGAGUCUGAACCAGCCAAGUAGCGUGAAGGAUGACUGCCCUAUGGGUUGUAAACUUCUUUUAUAUGGGAAUAAAAUGUUCCACGUGUGGGAUUUUGUAUGUACCAUAUGAAUAAGGAUCGGCUAACUCCGUGCCAGCAGCCGCGGUAAUACGGAGGAUCCGAGCGUUAUCCGGAUUUAUUGGGUUUAAAGGGAGCGUAGGUGGAUUGUUAAGGCAGUUGUGAAAGUUUGCGGCUCAACCGUAAAAUUGCAGUUGAAACUGGCAGUCUUGAGUACAGUAGAGGUGGGCGGAAUUCGUGGUGUAGCGGUGAAAUGCUUAGAGAUCACGAAGAACUCCGAUUGCGAAGGCAGUUCACUGGACUGCAACUGACACUGAGGCUCGAAAGUGUGGGUAUCAAACAGGAUUAGAUACCCGAGUAGUC
RNAcentral lists this ribosomal RNA (460 nucleotides) under uncultured bacterium. RNAcentral's name for it is "partial 16S ribosomal RNA". It matches the Rfam family "Bacterial small subunit ribosomal RNA", at positions 338 to 795 of the family's 1533-position model. The record is from RNAcentral.